ACUUUCAUAUGCAGCCGGACAUGGUGUAUUUGUGUUUCUGAGGUUAUUGUACAAGACGAAUUGGGUGGGGCCGGCGAGGCACAGGGACUGGAACAGAACUGCACAAAGGAAGAGGGAAGCUGGAAAAUACCAAUCACAGAUAGGAAGGACUCUGUUCCCAAGAUAUCUUCAUCCAGCAAUCACGAUCUAGGCACUGCAAGCUGCAUUUACUGCAUUUCAACUCUCACAAACUGUCAUAAGUUUAGAGACUACAGCUUA
RNAcentral lists this long non-coding RNA (258 nucleotides) under Homo sapiens (human). RNAcentral describes it as "non-protein coding lnc-SGK1-9:2". Lineage: Eukaryota; Metazoa; Chordata; Mammalia; Primates; Hominidae. The record is from RNAcentral.